AGCUGCCACCUUGCAUUGGAGGCUCCUUGGAGGUUUUGCUGUUAGUGGAGUCUCAAACAGCUGGUGCCAUGCAGGGAGAGCAAGCUGAAGAGUCAAGAGGAUGUCAGGGUCACCUGGAAUGAUCUCAGCAUUUCCAUACAAGCAGUAGAGAGCUGCUAUUUCCAGUGUCAGACUUGCUUUCUGGUCCAGCAGACCACGCUUUGAAUUCUGUGGGGUGUGUGUGGCUGGCUGAAUUUCAGCACCGUGUUUACUGAGUGUGCAGGCUUUGUGCAGGAAAUGGUGGACUUCACUGCUGGCACCAGUGUAAGAAAGGAAGGUUUUCUUAGGAGCUGCCUGAUGUGUUACCCAAAGUGCAUUAAGCAUCUUUAACCAGAGGAGGAUGCUUCCUUGUCUCCAGUACUAAAAAGCAGUUUCUGAUUUGAGGCAGAAGAUGGGAACUGGGAGGAGUGGCUAUUGACUGUGCUGGAAUGAUGCUGCACCACCCUGGCCUGGCCUGAUUGCUGGAAGAAUGACAGAGAAUCAAGGAAACAGAGAGCACUGACCUGUGUUUUGGAACAGACCCCUUGUUACAGCAGUGCUGAAUAUUGGCAGAUACGUCAGACACUGAAGCCAGGAGAAAACAAGCAUCCUUCCUCCCCAGAAAGAGGUGUGGGAGUGUGCCUGCUGCAGAAGUUGCUGUCACAUCGAGGAGGAAGGGGAGGCAUUGUAGGGGUGCAGAGCCUGAAUGACCUGAGUGAAAGCAGAUACCUCCUGCAGGUGCCUGGAAGAGGUUUUGCAGGAGGGUCCUUAUGAGCACAGCUUAGUGCCAGAGCCCUUGGCCUCCCCCUUCCUUUUGUCUUGGGGCUGAUGGCUGAAAUGCUGGAUGUCCAGGAAUCAGAUGAUUUCCCAGUCACUAUUCUGUUCCUGGAAAAGCUUUUUCUGCUAAUGAGGGCCUUAUGUUUAUGAUUUGCUUCGCUAUGCAGAAAAGCUUCUACUGAGACUGUAAUGCAGAAGACAACAUUUGUCUCCUUCUCCAAGAGAUGAUCUGAGUCAGUGAGUGGAUGCCAAGAGACUGGGCCUUUUAUUUGCUGUUGAGAAGGGAACUCUCUUUUUUUCUUUCUUCCCUUUCCAAAGCGAAAAGCUGUGUAGUGUUUCUCUGGUCCCACACAGAAUAACGAAGAAAUACCUAUAUUUUACAAAUGAAGACACAGAACAUCACACUUUGUUUUUAGACUCAUCUUCCACGAGAUCCCAGUAUUGUCUGUACUUCCAGCACCGUGUAGUUGAUGCAUAAUUAACGAG
Long non-coding RNA from Empidonax traillii (willow flycatcher), 1281 nucleotides. RefSeq lists it as uncharacterized. The transcript has 6 exons. Lineage: Eukaryota; Metazoa; Chordata; Aves; Passeriformes; Tyrannidae. The record is from RefSeq and is a predicted model, not a curated record.